This 64-nucleotide transfer RNA is filed under the name Pedioplanis laticeps. RNAcentral's name for it is "tRNA-Lys". Lineage: Eukaryota; Metazoa; Chordata; Lepidosauria; Squamata; Lacertidae. The record is from RNAcentral.
CACUAAGAAGCUACUACAGCAUUAGCCUUUUAAGCUGAAGAGGGGCAACUAGCCCCUUAGUGAC